GGCGCUUAGCUCAGCUGGUUAGAGCACCUCGUUUACACCGAGGGGGUCGGGGGUUCGAAUCC
Molecule: transfer RNA, 62 nt
Filed under: Candidatus Peregrinibacteria bacterium RIFCSPLOWO2_02_FULL_48_14
Lineage: Bacteria; Candidatus Peregrinibacteriota
Description: tRNA-Val
Rfam family: tRNA
About the family: Transfer RNA (tRNA) molecules are approximately 80 nucleotides in length. Their secondary structure includes four short double-helical elements and three loops (D, anti-codon, and T loops). Further hydrogen bonds mediate the characteristic L-shaped molecular structure. tRNAs have two regions of fundamental functional importance: the anti-codon, which is responsible for specific mRNA codon recognition, and the 3' end, to which the tRNAs corresponding amino acid is attached (by aminoacyl-tRNA synthetases). tRNAs cope with the degeneracy of the genetic code in two manners: having more than one tRNA (with a specific anti-codon) for a particular amino acid; and 'wobble' base-pairing, i.e. permitting non-standard base-pairing at the 3rd anti-codon position.
Source: RNAcentral